RNAcentral lists this ribosomal RNA (425 nucleotides) under uncultured bacterium. Its description in RNAcentral is "bacterial SSU rRNA". It matches the Rfam family "Bacterial small subunit ribosomal RNA", at positions 354 to 796 of the family's 1533-position model. The record is from RNAcentral.
GUUAGGAAUAUUGGACAAUGGGCGCAAGCCUGAUCCAGCCAUGCCGCGUGAGUGAUGAAGGCCUUCGGGUUGUAAAGCUCUUUAGCCGAUGAUUAUAAUGACUGUAGUCGGAAAAUAAGCCCCGGCUAACUUCGUGCCAGCAGCCGCGGUAAUACGAAGGGGGCGAGCGUUAUUCGGAAUCACUGGGCGUAAAGCGUGCGUAGGCGGUUUUGUAAGUUGGGAGUGAAAGCCCAGGGCUCAACCCUGGAAUUGCUCUCAAAACUACAAGACUUGAAUUCGGGAGAGGAUAGCGGAAUUGUCAGUGUAGCAGUGAAAUGCGUAGAUAUUGACAGGAACACCAGUGGCGUAAGCGGCUAUCUGGACCGACAUUGACGCUGAGGCACGAAAGCGUGGGGAUCAAACAGGAUUAGAAACCCCGGUAGUCC